This 497-nucleotide ribosomal RNA is filed under the name uncultured bacterium. RNAcentral's name for it is "partial 16S ribosomal RNA". It matches the Rfam family "Bacterial small subunit ribosomal RNA", at positions 28 to 507 of the family's 1533-position model. The record is from RNAcentral.
GAUGAACGCAGGCGGCGUGCCUAACACAUGCAAGUCGAGCGAACAGACGAGGAGCUUGCUCCUCUGACGUUAGGGGCGGACGGGUGAGUCACAUGUGGAUAACCUACCUAUAUGACUGGGAUCACUACGGGAAACCGGAGAUAAUAGCGGAUAAUAUAUUGAAGCGCAUGGUUCAAUAGUGAAUGACGGUUUUGCUGUCACUUAUAGAUGGAUCCGCGCCGGAUUAGCUAGUUGGUACGGUAACGGCUUACCAAGGCGACGAUGCGUAGCCGACCUGAGAGGGUGAUCGGCCACACUGGAACUGAGACACGGUCCAGACUCCUACGGGAGGCAGCAGUAGGGAAUCUUCCGCAAUGGGCGAAAGCUUUACGGAGCAACGCCGCGUGAGUGGUGAAGGUCUUCGGAUCGUAAAACUCUGUUAUUUGGGAAGAACAGAUGUGUAAGUAGCUAUGCACGUCUUGACGGUACCUAAUCAAAAAGCCACGGCUAACUACGUG